Molecule: small RNA, 125 nt
Filed under: Marmota monax (woodchuck)
Lineage: Eukaryota; Metazoa; Chordata; Mammalia; Rodentia; Sciuridae
Source: RNAcentral
GUCAGGCAUGGUGGCGCACACCUGUAAUCCCAGCGGCUCAGGAGGCUGAGGCAGGAGGAUCGCGAGUUCAAAGCCAGCCUCAGCAAAAGUGAAGCACUAAGCAACACAGUGAGACCCUGUCUUUA